This 443-nucleotide ribosomal RNA is filed under the name Echinocardium cordatum (sea potato). Its description in RNAcentral is "partial 16S ribosomal RNA". It matches the Rfam family "Bacterial large subunit ribosomal RNA", at positions 1830 to 2462 of the family's 2925-position model. Lineage: Eukaryota; Metazoa; Echinodermata; Echinoidea; Spatangoida; Loveniidae. The record is from RNAcentral.
CCUGAAAAAUAAGCAUAGGGGGUCCUGCCUGCCCAGUGACUGAAAAGUUAAACGGCCGCGGUAUCUUGACCGUGCGAAGGUAGCAUAAUCAUUUGUCUCCUAAAUAGAGACUGGUAUGAAUGGCAAGACGGAGCUUCACUGUCUCCUCCUCUUUGAUCUGAACUUCACAUUCCCGUGAAGAGGCGAGAAUUAGUUCGUAAGACGAGAAGACCCUGUCGAGCUGUAGCUAAAUUUUAAUUGUUGUUUACUAUUAGCCCUAACUAAUUAUAAUAAGAGUAGCAGGCCUAAAGCAUGACAAAUUAAAACAAGCUUUGAUUGGGGCAAUCCCGGAGAAAGAAAAUCCUCCGCUACUAUAUGGUUAUAUUAACCUAAAAUAAAAGAAUUAUUUUUCUUAAAUCAUAAGAAUGAAGGUAUGAUCCACUUACAGUGAUCAAAAGAACAAG